RNAcentral lists this ribosomal RNA (254 nucleotides) under uncultured bacterium. RNAcentral describes it as "partial 16S ribosomal RNA". It matches the Rfam family "Bacterial small subunit ribosomal RNA", at positions 524 to 776 of the family's 1533-position model. The record is from RNAcentral.
UACGGGGGGAGCAAGCGUUGUUCGGAUUUACUGGGCGUAAAGGGCGCGUAGGCGGUCAGCACAAGUCAGUUGUGAAAUCUCCGAGCUUAACUCGGAAAGGUCAACUGAUACUGUGCGACUAGAGUGCGGAAGGGGCAACUGGAAUUCUUGGUGUAGCGGUGAAAUGCGUAGAUAUCAAGAGGAACACCUGCGGCGAAGGCGGGUUGCUGGGCCGACACUGACGCUGAAGUGCGAAAGCCAGGGGAGCGAACGGG